GGUCACUAAAGGAGUGAGUAUAGAUUCCCUUUAUUGCUCUUAUAACUCCCAGCAGCCCCUCUGUUUCCCAUUAGACUGAAGUUGUGUUGUGAUUGGGUGCUGGGGCUGCUCACAGCUUGUGAUGCACUCAGUUUGGGUUAUCCAAAGAGAAGCAGAGAGACGACCGCCCUCGGAACAUCCCACAGAACUAAUUGCAAAGGAGGUUUUAAUGGGGCAGUGUGGGCUGUGGCAGUGCAUGAUUUUAAGUUUUCAAGCUGAGAUC
Molecule: non-coding RNA, 262 nt
Organism: Tachyglossus aculeatus (Australian echidna)
Lineage: Eukaryota; Metazoa; Chordata; Mammalia; Monotremata; Tachyglossidae
Product: small Cajal body-specific RNA 6
Exons: 1
Source: RefSeq, a predicted model, not a curated record